Parasitella parasitica is the source of this 73-nucleotide non-coding RNA. The record is from the annotation of a GenBank genome assembly. Lineage: Eukaryota; Fungi; Mucoromycota; Mucoromycetes; Mucorales; Mucoraceae.
GCCUGUUUGGCUCAGUUGGCAGAGCGUCUGCCUAGUAAGCAGAAGGUCAAUAGUUCGAUUCUGUUAACAGGCA